AUGGCACGUUACGGCACGACUGAAGCAAUAGAGAACAACCAGAAGUCAGAAAAGGAUGGUGCUCCUGCAGCCAUGCCCAUCACCGGCUGCUCUUUCCUGCACGUAUUCCAUGGAUCGAAUCCCAGACAACUACGUACGGCACCGCGGAACCUGUGGCCUUGUUUACGAGCCCUCUGCCCCGUGGCUUCGGGUCAAAGAUAUCCCUGGGCCUAUUCAUCCACCGUUGCCGCCCCGGAUCUCCCUGCAGAAACCGGUCAGGUUGCGAUUGGGCAGGAGGGCAUGGAAGUUUCAGGUCGUUCGUUACCUGACUCGACACGCCGCACACCUCGAUUAUUUUAG
This 339-nucleotide ribosomal RNA is filed under the name Triticum aestivum (bread wheat). RNAcentral describes it as "partial small subunit ribosomal RNA". The record is from RNAcentral. Lineage: Eukaryota; Viridiplantae; Streptophyta; Magnoliopsida; Poales; Poaceae.